CGCGAAGAACCUUACCUGGUCUUGACAUCCACGGAAGUUUCCAGAGAUGGGAAGGUGCCUUCGGGAACCGUGAGACAGGUGCUGCAUGGCUGUCGUCAGCUCGUGUUGUGAAAUGUUGGGUUAAGUCCCGCAACGAGCGCAACCCUUAUCCUUUGUUGCCAGCGGUCCGGCCGGGAACUCAAAGGAGACUGCCAGUGAUAAACUGGAGGAAGGUGGGGAUGACGUCAAGUCAUCAUGGCCCUUACGACCAGGGCUACACACGUGCUACAAUGGCGCAUACAAAGAGAAGCGACCUCGCGAGAGCAAGCGGACCUCAUAAAGUGCGUCGUAGUCCGGAUUGGAGUCUGCAACUCGACUCCAUGAAGUCGGAAUCGCUAGUAAU
RNAcentral lists this ribosomal RNA (382 nucleotides) under bacterium enrichment culture DGGE band A2(2013). RNAcentral describes it as "bacterial SSU rRNA". It matches the Rfam family "Bacterial small subunit ribosomal RNA", at positions 960 to 1342 of the family's 1533-position model. The record is from RNAcentral.